Molecule: ribosomal RNA, 924 nt
Filed under: uncultured Bacteroidota bacterium
Lineage: Bacteria; Pseudomonadati; Bacteroidota
Description: bacterial SSU rRNA
Rfam family: Bacterial small subunit ribosomal RNA
Source: RNAcentral
GGAUCCAGACUUUGAUCAUGGCUCAGGAUGAACGCUAGCUACAGGCUUAACGCAUGCAAGUCGAGGGGAAACGAUAUUGGAAGCUUGCUUCCGAUAGGCGUCGACCGGCGCACGGGUGAGUAACGCGUAUCCAACCUGCCCAUCACUUGGGGAUAACCUUGCGAAAGUAAGACUAAUACCCAAUGAUAUCUCUAGAAGACAUCUGAAGGAGAUUAAAGAUUCAUCGGUGAUGGAUGGGGAUGCGUCUGAUUAGCUUGUUGGCGGGGUAACGGCCCACCAAGGCGACGAUCAGUAGGGGUUCUGAGAGGAAGGUCCCCCACAUUGGAACUGAGACACGGUCCAAACUCCUACGGGAGGCAGCAGUGAGGAAUAUUGGUCAAUGGGCGAGAGCCUGAACCAGCCAAGUAGCGUGCAGGAUGACGGCCCUAUGGGUUGUAAACUGCUUUUAUAAGGGAAUAAAGUGAGCCUCGUGAGGCUUUUUGCAUGUACCUUAUGAAUAAGGACCGGCUAAUUCCGUGCCAGCAGCCGCGGUAAUACGGAAGGUCCGGGCGUUAUCCGGAUUUAUUGGGUUUAAAGGGAGCGUAGGCCGGAGAUUAAGCGUGUUGUGAAAUGUAGAUGCUCAACAUCUGCACUGCAGCGCGAACUGGUUUCCUUGAGUACGCACAAAGUGGGCGGAAUUCGUGGUGUAGCGGUGAAAUGCUUAGAUAUCACGAAGAACUCCGAUUGCGAAGGCAGCUCACUGGAGCGCAACUGACGCUGAAGCUCGAAAGUGCGGGUAUCGAACAGGAUUAGAUACCCUGGUAGUCCGCACGGUAAACGAUGGAUGCCCGCUGUUGGUCUGAAUAGGUCAGCGGCCAAGCGAAAGCAUUAAGCAUCCCACCUGGGGAGUACGCCGGCAACGGUGCAACUCAAAUGAAUUGACGG